This 468-nucleotide ribosomal RNA is filed under the name uncultured bacterium. Its description in RNAcentral is "partial 16S ribosomal RNA". It matches the Rfam family "Bacterial small subunit ribosomal RNA", at positions 28 to 507 of the family's 1533-position model. The record is from RNAcentral.
GACGAACGCUGGCGGCGUGCUUAACACAUGCAAGUCGAACGGAAAGGCCCUGCUUUUGUGGGGUUCUCGAUUGGCGAACGGGUGAGUAACACGUGAGUAACCUGCCCUUGACUUUGUGGUAACUUCAGGGAACUCGGUCUAAUACCGGAUAGGAGCUCCUGCUGCAUGGUGUGGGUUGGAAAGUUUCGGCGGUGCGGGAUGGUCUCGCGGCUUAUCAGCUUGUUGGUGGGGUAGUUGCUUACCAAGGCUUUGACGGGUAGCCGGCCUGGGAGGGUGACCGGCCACCAUGGGACUGAGAUACGGACCAGACUCCUACGGGCGGCAGCAGUCGGGAAUAUUGCACAAUGGGCGGAAGCCUGAUACAGCAACGCCGCGUGCGGGAUGCCGGCCUUCGGGUUGUAAACCGAUUUCGACUGUGACGAAGCGUGAGUGACGGUAAUGGGUAAAGAAGCACCGGCUAACUACGUG